Molecule: long non-coding RNA, 323 nt
Organism: Fukomys damarensis (Damara mole-rat)
Lineage: Eukaryota; Metazoa; Chordata; Mammalia; Rodentia; Bathyergidae
Exons: 3
Source: RefSeq, a predicted model, not a curated record
ACUCAGUGUUCUUACUUGCAUAAUGCAAUUACUAUUACUACCUCACAUGUAAAAGGGGGGAUUUCUAUAGUCUGCUAUCUUGCAAGUGAAAGGAGCCAUGGAUAGCUGGUCUCUGUUCACAGGAGUAACAAAGUGGACACCUCCAGAUGCGAGACAGAUCAAACAGAAAUGUGGCUAUUUGGAAAGAGCAAUCUUCUCCCACUGAUGAAAGGUGCUCACAACCAAAGAGCCAAUCUAUGCCUAUGUGGAGCUGUGGACAGUUCUAUGCAGAUCAUGUGAUACAAAGGAAAGUGAUGGACAAGUACUUUGGCAUGUACCAGGUG